Molecule: transfer RNA, 72 nt
Filed under: Ornithorhynchus anatinus (platypus)
Lineage: Eukaryota; Metazoa; Chordata; Mammalia; Monotremata; Ornithorhynchidae
Rfam family: tRNA
About the family: Transfer RNA (tRNA) molecules are approximately 80 nucleotides in length. Their secondary structure includes four short double-helical elements and three loops (D, anti-codon, and T loops).
Source: Rfam by way of RNAcentral
AGCAGCGUGGCUCAGUGGAAAGAGCACGGGCUUGGGAGUCAGAGGUCAUGGGUUCGAAUCCUGGCUCUGCCA